Molecule: ribosomal RNA, 420 nt
Filed under: uncultured bacterium
Lineage: Bacteria
Description: bacterial SSU rRNA
Rfam family: Bacterial small subunit ribosomal RNA
Source: RNAcentral
UGAGGAAUAUUGCACAAUGGACGAAAGUCUGAUGCAGCGACGCCGCGUGAGUGAAGAAGCUUCUAGGAGCGUAAAACUCUGUUCUAGAGGAAGAAUGCCCACUUCGGUGGGAGUGACGGUACUCUAGAAGAAAGCACCGGCUAACUCCGUGCCAGCAGCCGCGGUAAUACGGAGGGUGCAAGCGUUGUCCGGAUUUACUGGGCGUAAAGGGCGUGUAGGCGGAAUGGUCAGUCGAGGGUGAAAACUGCAGGCUUAACUUGCAGCGUGCCUUCGAUACUACCAUUCUUGAGUGUGGGAGGGGAUGACGGAAUUCCCGGUGUAGCGGUGGAAUGCGCAGAUAUCGGGAGGAACACCGGUGGCGAAGGCGGUCAUCUGGCCUUACACUGACGCUGAGGCGCGAAAGCGUGGGUAGCAAACAGG